Molecule: ribosomal RNA, 511 nt
Filed under: uncultured bacterium
Lineage: Bacteria
Description: bacterial SSU rRNA
Rfam family: Bacterial small subunit ribosomal RNA
Source: RNAcentral
AGAGUUUGAUCAUGGCUCAGAGUGAACGCUGGCGGCAGGCCUAAUACAUGCAAGUCGAACGGCAGCACAGCAGAGCUUGCUCUGUGGGUGGCGAGUGGCGGACGGGUGAGGAAUACGUGGGAAUCUGCCCAGUCGUGGGGAUAACGUAGGGAAACUUACGCUAAUACCGCAUGCCGCCCUUCGGGGGGAAAGCCGGGGACCUUCGGGCCUGGCGCGAUUGGAUGAGCCCACGUCGGAUUAGCUAGUUGGCGGGGUAAAGGCCCACCAAGGCGACGAUCCGUAGCUGGUCUGAGAGGAUGAUCAGCCACACUGGAACUGAGACACGGUCCAGACUCCUACGGGAGGCAGCAGUAGGGAAUAUUGGACAAUGGGCGCAAGCCUGAUCCAGCCAUGCCGCGUGAGUGAAGAGGGCCCUCGGGUUGUAAAGCUCUUUUGUCCGGAAAGAAAAGCGCCGGGUUAAUACCCUGGUGUCCUGACGGUACCGGAAGAAUAAGCACCGGCUAACUUCGUG